This 253-nucleotide ribosomal RNA is filed under the name uncultured bacterium. Its description in RNAcentral is "partial 16S ribosomal RNA". It matches the Rfam family "Bacterial small subunit ribosomal RNA", at positions 524 to 776 of the family's 1533-position model. The record is from RNAcentral.
CACGUAGGGCGCGAGCGUUGUCCGGAAUUAUUGGGCGUAAAGAGCUCGUAGGCGGUUUGUCGCGUCUGCUGUGAAAACUCGGGGCUUAACCCCGGGCCUGCAGUGGGUACGGGCAGACUAGAGUGCGGUAGGGGAGACUGGAAUUCCUGGUGUAGCGGUGAAAUGCGCAGAUAUCAGGAGGAACACCGGUGGCGAAGGCGGGUCUCUGGGCCGUAACUGACGCUGAGGAGCGAAAGCGUGGGGAGCGAACAGG